UACGGGGGGGGCAAGCGUUGUUCGGAAUUACUGGGCGUAAAGGGCUCGUAGGUGGCCAACUAAGUCGGACGUGAAAUCCCUCGGCUCAACCGGGGAACUGCGUCUGAUACUGGCGGGCUUGAAUCCGGGAGAGGGAUGUGGAAUUCCAGGUGUAGCGGUGAAAUGUGUAGAGAUCGGGAGGAACACCGGUGGCGAAGGCGGGUCUCUGGGCAUCUCCUGACGCUGAGGCGCGAAAGCGUGGGGAGCAAACGGG
RNAcentral lists this ribosomal RNA (253 nucleotides) under uncultured bacterium. RNAcentral describes it as "partial 16S ribosomal RNA". It matches the Rfam family "Bacterial small subunit ribosomal RNA", at positions 524 to 776 of the family's 1533-position model. The record is from RNAcentral.